Molecule: ribosomal RNA, 253 nt
Filed under: uncultured bacterium
Lineage: Bacteria
Description: partial 16S ribosomal RNA
Rfam family: Bacterial small subunit ribosomal RNA
Source: RNAcentral
UACGUAGGGUGCGAGCGUUAAUCGGAAUUACUGGGCGUAAAGCGUGCGCAGGCGGUUUUGUAAGCCAGAUGUGAAAGCCCCGGGCUUAACCUGGGAAUGGCAUUUGGGACUGCAAGGCUUGAGUGCGGCAGAGGAGACUGGAAUUCCUGGUGUAGCGGUGAAAUGCGCAGAUAUCAGGAGGAACACCCGUGGCGAAAGCGGCUCUCUGGAACGGUACUGACGCUGAGACGCGAAAGCGUGGGGAGCGAACAGG